UACGUAGGGGCCUAGCGUUGUCCGGAUUUAUUGGGCGUAAAGAGCUCGUAGGCGGCUCGGUAAGUCAGGUGUGAAAUCUCCACGCUCAACGUGGAGGGGCCACCUGAUACUGCCAUGGCUUGAGUCCGGUAGGGGAGUGUGGAAUUCCCGGUGUAGCGGUGAAAUGCGUAGAUAUCUGGAGGAACACCGGUGGCGAAGGCGGCAUCCUGGACCAACACUGACGCUGAGGAGCGAAAGCCAGGGGAGCAAACGGG
Molecule: ribosomal RNA, 254 nt
Filed under: uncultured bacterium
Lineage: Bacteria
Description: partial 16S ribosomal RNA
Rfam family: Bacterial small subunit ribosomal RNA
Source: RNAcentral